GAUGAAGAACGUAGCGAAAUGCGAUAAGUAAUGUGAAUUGCAGAAUUCAGUGAAUCAUCGAAUCUUUGAACGCACCUUGCACCCUUUGGCAUUCUGAAGGGUAUGCUCGUUUGAGUGUCAUUGUACUCUCACACUCCCGAUCUUUGCAUUGGGAGCAGUGGACUUGGGUUUGCUGCUUCACCGUCGCUUACCUCAAAUAGGUUAGUGCAACUCUUGGUUGGACAUAGUACGGCGUGAUAAGUGUUCUUCGCCGGUGCCUCGCAAAGAGGGUGGCCGAUCGGGAUGUUGUGCUCCAAACCGUCUUCGGACAAUCUCUGACGACUUGACCUCAAAUCGAGUAAGACUACCCGCUGAACUUAAGCAUAUCAAUAAGCGGAGUA
Molecule: unclassified non-coding RNA, 380 nt
Filed under: soil metagenome
Description: partial contains 5.8S ribosomal RNA, internal transcribed spacer 2, and large subunit ribosomal RNA
Rfam family: 5.8S ribosomal RNA (bases 1-120)
Source: RNAcentral